UACGUAGGCAGCGAGCGUUGUUCGGAGUUACUGGGCGUAAAGGGCGCGUAGGCGGCAAUUCAAGUCAUCUGUGAAAUCUCCGGGCUUAACCCGGAACGGUCAGGUGAUACUGUUUUGCUAGAGUGCGGAAGGGGCAAUCGGAAUUCUCGGUGUAGCGGUGAAAUGCGUAGAUAUCGAGAGGAACACCAGAGGUGAAGACGGGUUGCUGGGCCGACACUGACGCUGACAGCGCGAAAGCCAGGGGAGCAAACGGG
This 254-nucleotide ribosomal RNA is filed under the name uncultured bacterium. RNAcentral's name for it is "partial 16S ribosomal RNA". It matches the Rfam family "Bacterial small subunit ribosomal RNA", at positions 524 to 776 of the family's 1533-position model. The record is from RNAcentral.